GUCUCUGUGGCGCAAUCGGAUUAGCGCGUUCGACUGUUAACGCGAAAGGUUGGUGGUUCGAGCCCACCCAGGGACG
Non-coding RNA from Xenopus laevis (African clawed frog), 76 nucleotides. Lineage: Eukaryota; Metazoa; Chordata; Amphibia; Anura; Pipidae. The record is from the annotation of a RefSeq genome assembly.